ACCUGGGUGGCUCAGUCGGUUGAGCGUCUGACUUUGGCUCAGGUCAUGAUCUCACAGUUCGUGAGUUCGAGCCCCACAUUGGGCU
This 85-nucleotide transfer RNA is filed under the name Felis catus (domestic cat). It matches the Rfam family "tRNA". From Rfam's summary of the family: Transfer RNA (tRNA) molecules are approximately 80 nucleotides in length. Their secondary structure includes four short double-helical elements and three loops (D, anti-codon, and T loops). The record is from Rfam by way of RNAcentral. RNAcentral also lists the same sequence under 2 other names. Lineage: Eukaryota; Metazoa; Chordata; Mammalia; Carnivora; Felidae.